CUACGGGUCGCACCAGUCGCGGAACUUUUACAAUGCACGCAAGUGUGAUAAAGCGAACCAAAGUGCUAUUCGUUUAGAAUAGCUUUUUUUCAACGUAAAAACUUGGAAGAAUAAGGACUGGGAAAGACCGGUGCCAGCCGCCGCGGUAAUACCGGCAGUUCAAGUUGCAUCCAGUUUUAUUGGGUCUAAAACAUCCGUAGCUUGCCACUUAAGUCUCUUGUGAAAUCUCACGUCUCAAGCGUGGUGAAGUGCAGGAGAUACUGGGUGGCUAGAGAUCGGUAGACGUAAGCAGUACGGGACGGGUAACGGUCAAAUGUGUUAAUCCGUCUUGGACUAACAAUCAGCGAAGGCAGCUUACGAGGACGAAUCUGACAGUGAGGGAUGAAGGCCAGGGGCGCAAAACGGAUUAGAUACCCCAGUAGUC
Molecule: ribosomal RNA, 424 nt
Filed under: uncultured archaeon
Lineage: Archaea
Description: partial 16S ribosomal RNA
Rfam family: Archaeal small subunit ribosomal RNA
Source: RNAcentral